GCCGGGCGUGGUGGCACGUGCCUGUAAUCCCAGCUACUUGGGAGGCUGAGGCAGGAGAAUCGCUUGAACCCGGGAGGCGGAAGUUGCAGUGAGCCAAUAUCACGCCACUGCACUUUUUUUUUUUUUUUUGAGAUGGAAUCCCGCUCUGUGGCCAGGCUAGAGUGCAGUGGCGCGAUCUCGGCUCACUGCAACCUCCACCUCCCGAGUUCAAGUGAUUCUCCUGCCUCAG
This is a non-coding RNA of Nomascus leucogenys (northern white-cheeked gibbon), 229 nucleotides long. It matches the Rfam family "Metazoan signal recognition particle RNA". Rfam says of the family: The signal recognition particle (SRP) is a universally conserved ribonucleoprotein. It is involved in the co-translational targeting of proteins to membranes. The eukaryotic SRP consists of a 300-nucleotide 7S RNA and six proteins: SRPs 72, 68, 54, 19, 14, and 9. NCBI's taxonomy places the organism in Eukaryota, Metazoa, Chordata, Mammalia, Primates, Hylobatidae. The record is from Rfam.